RNAcentral lists this unclassified non-coding RNA (2502 nucleotides) under Apis dorsata (giant honeybee). Its description in RNAcentral is "single Ig IL-1-related receptor-like, transcript variant X2". The record is from RNAcentral. Lineage: Eukaryota; Metazoa; Arthropoda; Insecta; Hymenoptera; Apidae.
CGUUUUAAACCCGUGGUCUACGGGGAGUUUUCAAAGCGGUAGGCUGACAGUAAGCCGUUGGCGUUCGGAGCGUGUGCGUCGUUUGUACGCUUACAUGUCGAUAGUUUCUUUUCGGUGAAAAUAUACGUUUCGUUACGAUUGUUCUAGGUGUCGAUUUUCGUUAUUUUUUCUCUUCUCGAAAACGCCACGCAUUAUUUAUACGGUUGAAUUUGAUGUGCAGUAUCGUGAUUAUUGCGAGUGACGUAAUAUCGGAAAGAUCGUCGAAAAAGUGUCGAAUCACGGGAUUUGUGACCAUUGACCAUUGACGCGCUAUACAUAUUACGAAUAUAUAAUUGGUUAAAAUUAUUGGUGAUCGUGCAAAUGUCGAAAAAGUUCCCCACUUCCCCUCCUCGCAUAAUUGAGCAGUGAUAUCGAAAAUAGAACGGGAGAAAAAUUAAAAUGGGUUUCGCGGAAGGUGACUGAACGGUUAAACAGUUUAUCGGUUAACGCGAAAAAAACGCGGGACGAGAGCUGUUUGAAAUCCCGAGUAAACACGCAGUAUUCCUGAGUAGACGAAAGUUUAUGUUUGACGACAAACAUCGAGCGGAUCGGUGAAGGUACGUGUACGUAGAUACAGAAGUCCGCGUAUUUGUCCUUUAGACGUUAACGGUGCCGGCUGGAAGAGAUCGGUUUUCCUUUACGGAAAAGUUUAGCCUGGACCGUUGGGACGUAAUUUUCACUCUAGGAAUCCGAUAAUGGAGGUUCUCGGAUUUGAAAAGCGUCGUGUCUAAAAUGUUUUUCCAACGUCUUGGUAAAUUGGUUUUUCGUCGAAAUCUCAAGAUGACGACAUCGUUAAGCCGUGGAUUAAUCAUCUUGUCGCUUUUGACUGUUUUGUGUCGGGCCAACGAAUUAAAAGACUACUGUUCGAUACACAAAUUUGACAACUUACCACCUGGUGGUCUCAGAUUUACGAAAGAAGUCGUGACAACGGAAUAUGCAAAUAUCGGAGCGUUCAAAGCCCUUCAUUGCUGCCUUCGAGGAUACAGAAGCAUCGAAUGGUACAAGGACAACAGGGCCUAUCCUUGGCCAGGUGGCGAGAGCCACUUCAUCCUGUAUCCGGAGAGCGCGAACCAGACGAUUUACGCGCAGAAGGUGAGAGCCUCUGACGCGGGACGAUAUUCCUGUCAGGCGAGGAACGAUACCACCAUCCUCGAAGGGGAUAUCACGCUCGCCGUCCUCGGGGAGAAAUCGAGCGGAUACACGGGGAAACCGCUGCCAACGUACAGGCCAGCCUCGCAGUUGGUUCCGCUGGGAGGAGCUGCGAGAUUGUUCUGCGAGGCGUAUCUCGGGAAGGUGGAGCUGCCGGACGCGAAAAAUUCGGUGACUUGGUCGAAGAGCGACAGCAACGUCACGUUGCCGAGUCACGGAAGGAUCGCCCAGCACAAAGUUUCCAGGGAAAACAAUCAGAUCAUCGGCUCUUACUUGGAGAUCGAGGACAUCACUCUGGAAGAUUACGGGGAGUACAAAUGCGAAGUUAGCAACGGAGUAGACGAGGAGAUCACGUUACCCGCUCACGUUUAUCGACAAGAGCCACAAUUCGCGCUGGGACUGCAAAACGGAUCCUGGAGAAGAUCGUUCUUGGUGGGCGUUCUAGUGCUGGUUUUGCUGAUCUCGGCCGGCGCGUUCUACGCUCGUUGUUGGCUGCCACUGGUUCUGCUCUGUCGCGACAAAUUCGCCCCUCUCGAGGAGAACGAUGGAAAGGAAAGCGACGCCCUGGUAUGCUACCACGAGAAAGACUCGAACCUGGCCAUCGGCAUAGUUAUACCCACGUUGGAGUCGAGGCAUCGGUACAAGUGCACGUCGCUCGAGCUCUCCCAACUGAAUCAGAAUUGGUCGUUGGAGAUCGGCGCGCACGUCUCUUCGAGCCGAAGGAUCAUCGUGAUCCUGAGUCCAGCCUGCCUGGGGAACGUUUGGAACGAGGCGAGCGUGGGCCCCAUCCUGAACCAGUUAUCGUCGCUCGCGACACGAACGAUAGCGAUCGUGACCAAGGAUUUGCCGAGCGCGACCACGAUCGCGAAACGAUCGAAUCGGGGCUGCAACAACUCGACCGAGCUCUCCCUCGAUCGCCUCAAGAUCCUCCACUGGGACGAGGCGUGGAACUCGUCCGGUUCCGGUGACCACAAUAAAUUUUGGUACAAGCUCCGGCUCGCCAUGCCCCCUGUCCGGCCGAUCAGCACCGAAGGUGGCUGCCAAUCGGUCGCCAUGAUCGUCCAAGCGAAUGGAAAGUGCGGACAACAGAAGGCUCGCUCGCGCGAAAGUCUCGAGGUUCUAGUAUAAGUUUAAGGAAGAUGAGUUUCAAGGAGAAGAUAUGUGUAUUCCUACGUGUAUUCAUCCAUCCAUCCAUCCAUCCAUCCAUCUAUAUAUACAUACAUCCGCGUUUCUUACUUCCGCUUUUGCGCGAAGCGACGCGGCAUCGUGCCAAACGUUCGAUCGUCGACGCGUUUCCCAUCCGAAAAAAACAAA